This 2216-nucleotide long non-coding RNA is filed under the name Paramuricea clavata. Lineage: Eukaryota; Metazoa; Cnidaria; Anthozoa; Malacalcyonacea; Plexauridae. The record is from RNAcentral.
AAAGGAAAAAAUAUUGAAAAUAUGAACUCGACGCGAUUCGAACUCAAAGGUUUGUCGAGACAGGCCAAACGACCUACCACUAAGCCACCGAGGGAGAACGAAAGUUUAUGUCAAAUUAAACACUAUAGCUAAUUGUCGUGACGCGCUUAUCUUAUGCGGUGAAAUAGUUUAUUAGGCGGUGAAUUGCGGUGAAGAAUUUUGGCAGUUCGAGGCAACUUAGAACGCCAUGGUGGCAGCACUUUCCUUGCGAUAGUAACUUCUAGUAUUUGCUUAUACUGUAUGUUGUAUUUGAGCCAAAGUAUACGGUAUACCACACUCAAUUUCACUCUUUAAACUAUUUGGCAGCUUCUCUCAAACAGCCAAAACUAGUUACGCGAGUUGAAAUAAAACACCUCAAAUAAUAUCGAACGGAAUUAUCUGUUAGAAAUGAUUGGAUCUCUUCGAGCCAGGCUCAACAUACCAAUAUUUCCAACUACUUGCAAAGCGAUUUCUCAUAUGAAGAUGUAAAAAGAAUAAAAACAGCUGGAUAGAAAUAAAAGGAAAAAAAAUUAAAAAUAUGAAGUCGACGCGAUUCGAACUCAAAGGUUUGUCGAGGCAGGCUAAACGCCAUACCACUAAGCCACCGAGGGAGAACCAAAGUAAUUAUCAUGAUCGGACGGGUAAGGAUUCAUUUGCAUAUACGUAUACUGUCUCAAAGUUUAUAUGUCAAAAUGUGUUUUAAAAUUCUCCUGAGACAAAACUUUCUACAUCAUUUUGUGUUUUGAACAUUUCUAAGUCGGUCCAUGCCGAAAAAACUUUUUCGAUCAGCUCGAAAUUUUCUAAUCUCAAACUUUAGUUGACUCAAGAUUGAUCCCACGGGUAACGGUUAAGCCUAAUAGUAUUUAUAAUGAUCGGACGGGUAAGGAUUCAUUUGCAUAUACGUAUACUGUCUGAAAGUUUAUAUGUUAAAAUGUGCUUUAAAAUACUCCUGAGCCAAAACUUUCUGCAUCAUUAUGCGUUUUGAACAUUUCUAAGUCGGUCCAUGACGAAAAAACUUUUUCGAUCAGCUCGAAAUUUUCUAAGUCUCAAACUUUAGUUGACUCAAGAUUGAUCCCACGGGUAACGGGUAAGCCUAAUAGUAUUUAUAAUGAUCGCACGGGUAAGUAUUCAUUUGCAUAUACGUAUACUGUCUCAAAGUUUAUAUGUCAAAAUGUGCUUUAAAAUUCUCCUGAGCCAAAACUUUCUGCAUCAUUUUGUCUUUUGAACAUUGCUAAAUCGGUCAAUCACGAAAAACUUUUUCGAUCUGCUCGAAAUUUUCUAAGUCUCAAACUUUAGUUGACUCAAGAUUGAUCCCACGGGUAACGGGUAAGCCUAAUAGUAUUUAUAAUGAUCGGACGGGUAAGGAUUCAUUUGCAUAUACGUAUACUGUCUGAAAGUUUAUAUGUUAAAAUGUGCUUUAAAAUUUUCCUGAGCCAAAACUUUCUGCAUCAUUAUGCGUUUUGAACAUUUCUAUAAGUCGGUCCAUGACGAAAAAACGUUUUCGAUCAGCUCGAAAUUUUCUAAGUCUCAAACUUUAGUUGACUCAAGAUUAAUCCCACGGGUAACGGGUAAGCGUAACACUAUUUAUAAUGAUCGGACGGGUAAAGGCGGUUUUCCACGAGGCGAAAUUUUUCGACCGAAACGAAAUUUCUCUUUGUCUUUUUACAAUUAGUUCUGCUUGACAGCUCAUGAAACAAAGAGAAAUUUCGAUUCGGUCGAAAAAUUUCGCCUAGUGGAAAACCGCCUACGGCGGAAAUCGAAAAAAUCUACAUACAUCUAGUACAACCCAAGACAGAGAAUAUCGAAGAAUUGUAAUAUGUUAGCUGCUUGCAUUGUUGCCAUCAUGGUAUAGUGGUAAAGACUGAGGCCAUCAUGAGCGUAUGUUGUUGACCGUUCCCAGGUAAAACUCUCGUAACUUUUCGUAUAAUUUUUUUCUUUAUUUCUUUUUGCCAUUAUUUUUCCAAAACAUCUCUAAAUCGCUCCUUCUAACGGCUGAAUAUUCAUUUUUAUAUAUUUUUUUGUUUAUUAGGACAAUUUUGAGUUGAUUUAACCAAGGAUGACGAGAGAUGAACAAGGAUGUAGAGCGCUGAAGAGAAUUCUUCGGUAGGAUGAAAUCAAAAAAAUCUACAUACAGUUAGUACAACCCAAAACAGAGAAUAUGGAAGAAUUGUAAUAUGUUAGCUCUCUUCAUUGUUGCC